This 465-nucleotide ribosomal RNA is filed under the name Vreelandella stevensii. Its description in RNAcentral is "partial 16S ribosomal RNA". It matches the Rfam family "Bacterial small subunit ribosomal RNA", at positions 338 to 795 of the family's 1533-position model. The record is from RNAcentral. Lineage: Bacteria; Pseudomonadati; Pseudomonadota; Gammaproteobacteria; Oceanospirillales; Halomonadaceae.
CCUACGGGGGGCUACAGUGGGGAAUAUUGGACAAUGGGGGCAACCCUGAUCCAGCCAUGCCGCGUGUGUGAAGAAGGCCCUCGGGUUGUAAAGCACUUUCAGUGAGGAAGAACGCCUGGUGGUUAAUACCCAUCAGGAAAGACAUCACUCACAGAAGAAGCACCGGCUAACUCCGUGCCAGCAGCCGCGGUAAUACGGAGGGUGCGAGCGUUAAUCGGAAUUACUGGGCGUAAAGCGCGCGUAGGUGGCUUGAUAAGCCGGUUGUGAAAGCCCCGGGCUCAACCUGGGAACGGCAUCCGGAACUGUCAAGCUAGAGUGCAGGAGAGGAAGGUAGAAUUCCCGGUGUAGCGGUGAAAUGCGUAGAGAUCGGGAGGAAUACCAGUGGCGAAGGCGGCCUUCUGGACUGACACUGACACUGAGGUGCGAAAGCGUGGGUAGCAAACAGGAUUAGAUACCCCAGUAGUC